UGGGGAAUAUUGGACAAUGGGCGAAAGCCUGAUCCAGCCAUGCCGCGUGUGUGAAGAAGGCCUUUUGGUUGUAAAGCACUUUAAGUGGGGAGGAAAAGCUUGUGGUUAAUACCCAUAAGCCCUGACGUUACCCACAGAAUAAGCACCGGCUAACUCUGUGCCAGCAGCCGCGGUAAUACAGAGGGUGCAAGCGUUAAUCGGAAUUACUGGGCGUAAAGCGCGCGUAGGUGGUUAUUUAAGUCAGAUGCGAAAGCCCCGGGCUUAACCUGGGAACUGCAUCUGAUACUGGAUAACUAGAGUAGGUGAGAGGGGAGUAGAAUUCCAGGUGUAGCGGUGAAAUGCGUAGAGAUCUGGAGGAAUACCGAUGGCGAAGGCAGCUCCCUGGCAUCAUACUGACACUGAGGUGCGAAAGCGUGGGUAGCAAACAGGAUUAGAUACCCUGGUAGUCCACGCCGUAAACGAUGUCUACCAGUCGUUGGGUCUUUUAAAGACUUAGUGACGCAGUUAACGCAAUAAGUAGACCGCCUGGGGAGUACGGCCGCAAGGUUA
RNAcentral lists this ribosomal RNA (549 nucleotides) under uncultured bacterium. RNAcentral describes it as "bacterial SSU rRNA". It matches the Rfam family "Bacterial small subunit ribosomal RNA", at positions 355 to 896 of the family's 1533-position model. The record is from RNAcentral.